RNAcentral lists this unclassified non-coding RNA (1205 nucleotides) under Leishmania donovani. RNAcentral's name for it is "gene:LdHU3.18.0040(CDS-product:RNA-binding_protei n_27_putative)". The record is from RNAcentral. Lineage: Eukaryota; Euglenozoa; Kinetoplastea; Trypanosomatida; Trypanosomatidae.
CCAAAAAGGCAGUCAUGCAAAUGAGUAAAUGAUGCCGAACGAUACAGCGGUUGUGUACAUCUUCCUCGACGACGCCAACAAGGCCGUUUCCAUGGAAGAUGUCAAGGAAUGGCUGCAGAUUAUAAACGAUGUUGUGGAGAUAAAGCUGCAAUUUGACGCGGCUACAGAACGGCCGUGCUACUAUGUGGAGUUCCGCAGCCCAGUAGCGGCGCAGCAGGCUGUGCAGUACCUCAACGGGGCACGGCUCAAGAACUGCGUCGUGACGAUACAGUCUCGUGUGUAUCUGGCGGCGGCAGAGACACAGGGGUCGGCAAGCGGCAGCGGAGAGUCUCCGUCGGCGGCCGGCGGUACGCCUCCAGUGACCCACAAGCGCUGCAGAGAGACAUCAGAGUUGCCCUUUAAUCAUUUGCUGCCGCCCGAGCUUCAGAUGGACCCGCCACUCGCGAAGUAUCUUCCCCAACUGGAGAAGAGUGAGCUGUACUCGUCAGACGCCGUUGCCAUGUGGCAGCAACUGCAAGCAGCACAAAAGGAACUGGUUGAAAUGUACCAUGACCUAGAGAUCACUGCCGCGCAGAUCGCGGAUUGUGACGCGCAGUUGACGCAGCUCCUUCACAUGAGUUGGAUAGCGCCCGCGUCCAAUGGCGUCAUGAUAUCUCAGUCGCCUUCGUCUGGGCCUGGGCGCAAGACUGUCCUGCAGGCCCCACACUUUCUUUGCCACGAGAGGGCGAUCGCGUUUGACGCACAUACCCCCAGUCGGGUCGUCGCACUACUGACGGAUUGCUUUGGCCCACUGUCGCUCUGCUCCGACGCGGUGACACAGACGGGCUUUUUUCUCGUGGUGAGGUUUGUCUUUGCUGCAGACGAGGCGCUUUUCUUGGCCGCAGCUACCGCGUCCGGGUCGACAGAGGUGACCAAGAAGAGGGAGCAGAGUCAAGGGGCGGAGUGGAGGAGCGUCGUCCAAGGACUUGGGUGGAGGCCAACAACGAGCGUCGCUCGCGUGCAUCACCUAUUCUCAGUCGAACUGGAUGCACCUCUGCAGCGUAUCGUGCGCGACCUACUAGCGUAGAUGUCGUUGCUGGAAGCAUUGCAGGAGGCACAGGUGUGACUGCUUCACCUGCUUUCACGCCGGUAGUUUCCAGGUAGUGAUGAUGGACUCGGGUACUGCGGCUGGUGUGCCGCCGCUGACGUGUGAAGUGCAGGAAAAC